This 490-nucleotide ribosomal RNA is filed under the name uncultured bacterium. RNAcentral describes it as "partial 16S ribosomal RNA". It matches the Rfam family "Bacterial small subunit ribosomal RNA", at positions 28 to 507 of the family's 1533-position model. The record is from RNAcentral.
GAUGAACGCUAGCGGCAGGCCUAAUACAUGCAAGUCGAACGGGAUCCAGAUCAAAGCUUGCUUUGGUCUGGUGAGAGUGGCGCACGGGUGCGUAACGCGUGAGCAACCUACCCUUGUCAGGGGGAUAGCCCGGCGAAAGUCGGAUUAAUACCGCAUGACAUCAUUGAGAGGCAUCUUUCGAUGAUCAAAGAUUUAUCGGACAAGGAUGGGCUCGCGUGACAUUAGCUCGUUGGUAAGGUAACGGCCUACCAAGGCUGCGAUGUCUAGGGGCUCUGAGAGGAGAAUCCCCCACACUGGUACUGAGACACGGACCAGACUCCUACGGGAGGCAGCAGUAAGGAAUAUUGGUCAAUGGACGGAAGUCUGAACCAGCCAUGCCGCGUGCAGGAGGACGGCCCUAUGGGUUGUAAACUGCUUUUAUACGGGAACAAACGUCGGUACGUGUACCGGUCUGAGUGUACCGUAAGAAUAAGGAUCGGCUAACUCCGUG